RNAcentral lists this RNase P RNA (348 nucleotides) under Bacteroidales bacterium. RNAcentral describes it as "RNase P RNA component class A". It matches the Rfam family "Bacterial RNase P class A". From Rfam's summary of the family: Ribonuclease P (RNase P) is a ubiquitous endoribonuclease, found in archaea, bacteria and eukarya as well as chloroplasts and mitochondria. Its best characterised activity is the generation of mature 5'-ends of tRNAs by cleaving the 5'-leader elements of precursor-tRNAs. The record is from RNAcentral. Lineage: Bacteria; Pseudomonadati; Bacteroidota; Bacteroidia; Bacteroidales.
UCGGUGGGCCGUUCUAUCGCUCGGGAAACCGGGAGGAAAGUCCGGACAAGAGAGGGCAUUGUACUGCGGAAAGCGCAGAUGGGCGAAAGCUUAUGCCAGGGGUAACAGAAAAUAACCGCCACGGGCAACUGUGGCAAGGGUGAAAACGUGAGGCAAGAGCUCACGGGUGUGUACGGCGACGUACAUGCAGUACUCCACUACAACUUGCAAGGCCAUGUAUACCAACAUUCAAGGGUUGCCCGUCCGUUGUUGGGGGGUAGGCUGCAACAGAUAAAUGAUAGAAGCUUCUUAGGGUGGUCCGUCCACCAGUCUGAAGUACAGAAUUCGGCUUACAGGUCCACCUAUAAU